GUGAAUCAUCAAAUUUUUGAACGCAAAUUGCACUCUCUUCGGAGAGUAUGCCUGUUUGAGGGUCAGCCUAAAAAAAAUCGACAUAGUCACUGUUUCGCGGUGACAUUUGUCGUCAAUUUGGUCAUCUUACACCUUUUGGUGUUAAGCGGCUUACAAUUUUCUUUCCGAUUCCACGAACGUUUCUAAGAUUUACUUCUUAUACGUUUAAGGUAUCGAUCUUUAUUAUACGUAGC
This 233-nucleotide unclassified non-coding RNA is filed under the name Glomus sp. Its description in RNAcentral is "partial contains 5.8S ribosomal RNA and internal transcribed spacer 2". The stretch from base 1 to 65 matches the Rfam family "5.8S ribosomal RNA", at positions 84 to 154 of the family's 154-position model. Lineage: Eukaryota; Fungi; Glomeromycota; Glomeromycetes; Glomerales; Glomeraceae. The record is from RNAcentral.